AUUGAACGCUGGCGGCAGGCCUAACACAUGCAAGUCGAGCGGAGCGGCGGACGGAUGAGUAAUUCCCGGGAAUCUGCCUGGUCGUGGGGGAUCACGUCCGUAAACGGGCGCUAAUACCGCAUACUAUCAGAUGAGCCUAGGUCGGAUUAGCUAGUGGGGGGGGUAAAGGCCUACCAAGGGGACGGUCCGUAACUGGUCUGAGGGGAUGACCAGUCAGACGGGAAAGGGGAAACGGUCCAGAUUCGUACGGGAGGCAGCAGUGGGGAAUAUUGGACAAUGGGCGAAAGCCUGAUCCAGCAAGGCCGCGUGUGUGAAGAAGGUCUUCGGAUGGUAAAGCACUGGAAGUGGGGAGGCGUUACCAACAGAAUAAGCAACGGCUAACUACGUGCCAGCAGCCGCGGUAAUAC
RNAcentral lists this ribosomal RNA (407 nucleotides) under uncultured bacterium. RNAcentral's name for it is "partial 16S ribosomal RNA". It matches the Rfam family "Bacterial small subunit ribosomal RNA", at positions 29 to 526 of the family's 1533-position model. The record is from RNAcentral.